GAUGAACGCUGGCGGCGUGCCUAAUACAUGCAAGUCGAGCGAACGGACGAGAAGCUUGCUUCUCUGAUGUUAGCGGCGGACGGGUGAGUAACACGUGGAUAACCUACCUAUAAGACUGGGAUAACUUCGGGAAACCGUAGCUAAUACCGGAUAAUAUUUUGAACCGCAUGGUUCAAAAGUGAAAGACGGUCUUGCUGUCACUUAUAGAUGGAUCCGCGCUGCAUUAUCUAGUUGGUAAGGUAACGGCUUACCAAGGCAACGAUGCAUAGCCGACCUGAGAGGGUGAUCGGCCACACUGGAACUGGGACACGGUCCAGACUCCUACGGGAGGCAGCAGUAGGGAAUCUUCCGCAAUGGGCGAAAGCCUGACGGAGCAACGCCGCGUGAGUGAUGAAGGUCUUCGGAUCGUAAAACUCUGUUAUUAGGGAAGAACAUAUGUGUAAGUAACUGUGCACAUCUUGACGGUACCUAAUCAGAAAGCCACGGCUAACUACGUG
RNAcentral lists this ribosomal RNA (497 nucleotides) under uncultured bacterium. RNAcentral's name for it is "partial 16S ribosomal RNA". It matches the Rfam family "Bacterial small subunit ribosomal RNA", at positions 28 to 507 of the family's 1533-position model. The record is from RNAcentral.